GAUGAACGCUGGCGGCGUGCCUAACACAUGCAAGUCGAGCGAUUCUCUUCGGAGAAGAGCGGCGGACGGGUGAGUAACGCGUGGGUAACCUGCCCUGUACACACGGUUAACAUACCGAAAGGUAUGCUAAUACGAGAUAAUAUGCUUUUAUCGCAUGGUAGAAGUAUCAAAGCUCCGGCGGUACAGGAUAGACCCGCGUCUGAUUAGCUAGUUGGUAAGGUAACGGCUUACCAAGGCGACGAUCAGUAGCCGACCUGAGAGGGUGAUCGGCCACAUUGGAACUGAGACACGGUCCAAACUCCUACGGGAGGCAGCAGUGGGGAAUAUUGCACAAUGGGCGAAAGCCUGAUGCAGCAACGCCGCGUGAGCGAUGAAGGCCUUCGGGUCGUAAAGCUCUGUCCUCAAGGAAGAUAAUGACGGUACUUGAGGAGGAAGCCCCGGCUAACUACGUGCCAGCCGCCGCGGUAA
RNAcentral lists this ribosomal RNA (468 nucleotides) under uncultured bacterium. RNAcentral describes it as "partial 16S ribosomal RNA". It matches the Rfam family "Bacterial small subunit ribosomal RNA", at positions 28 to 523 of the family's 1533-position model. The record is from RNAcentral.